CAGGUCUGUAGCAAUACAGAUGCUGGCGACCGGCAAACGGGUGCGGAACACGUACACAACCUUCCUUUAAGUGGGGGAUAGCCCGGCGAAAGCCGGAUUAAUACCCCGUAACAUAUUGAAUAGGCAUCUAUUUAAUAUUAAAGCUCCGGCGCUUAAUGAUGGGUGUGCGCCUGAUUAGGUAGUUGGCGGGGUAACGGCCCACCAAGCCUACGAUCAGUAACUGGUGUGAGAGCACGACCAGUCACACGGGCACUGAGACACGGGCCCGACUCCUACGGGAGGCAGCAGUAAGGAAUAUUGGUCAAUGGACGCAAGUCUGAACCAGCCAUGCCGCGUGGAGGAUGAAGGUCCUCUGGAUUGUAAACUUCUUUUAUCUGGGACGAAAAAGGGUCUUUCUAGAUCAACUGACGGUACCAGAUGAAUAAGCACCGGCUAACUCCGUGCCAGCAGCCGCGGUAAUACGGAGGGUGCAAGCGUUAUCCGGAUUCACUGGGUUUAAAGGGUGCGUAGGUGGGUCUGUAAGUCAGUGGUGAAAUCUCCGAGCUUAACUUGGAAACUGCCAUUGAUACUAUAGAUCUUGAAUAUUGUGGAGGUCAGCGGAAUAUGUCAUGUAGCGGUGAAAUGCUUAGAUAUGACAUAGAACACCAAUUGCGAAGGCAGCUGGCUACACAUAUAUUGACACUGAGGCACGAAAGCGUGGGGAUCAAACAGGAUUAGAUACCCUGGUAGUCCACGCCCUAAACUAUGGAUACUCGACAUUUGCGAUACACUGCGAGUGUCUGAGCGAAAGCAUUAAGUAUCCCACCUGGGAAGUACGAUCGCAAGAUUGAAACUCAAA
Molecule: ribosomal RNA, 838 nt
Filed under: uncultured Flavobacteriaceae bacterium
Lineage: Bacteria; Pseudomonadati; Bacteroidota; Flavobacteriia; Flavobacteriales; Flavobacteriaceae
Description: bacterial SSU rRNA
Rfam family: Bacterial small subunit ribosomal RNA
Source: RNAcentral